This is a long non-coding RNA of Tigriopus californicus, 947 nucleotides long. RefSeq lists it as uncharacterized. Lineage: Eukaryota; Metazoa; Arthropoda; Copepoda; Harpacticoida; Harpacticidae. The record is from RefSeq and is a predicted model, not a curated record. The transcript has 2 exons.
ACUAUGUGUGGGGUCGGUCGUGGGGUGAUCACUGAUCAUCAUGUCACACAAUGAUAUUGAUCUGAGCUGGAAGAUGCCAAUCCCAAAAUAGGAGAACAACAAGAUCUGCACGUAUGAAGAAAUGAUCAAAAUUUGCAUCGACUUGGCAUUCAUGCCCUUUGUCAUGAUCCGCAUUCGAGCGGCACAAGAUGACGAACAGUUUCGUUGCUUCGGAUUAUCAGCCGCUUUUAAAGAGCAAGUCAGUUUGCAUCUCCAAACAAGUGAUGUUCCCCGAAAAGGGGCGCUAGUGAGGCAAGACUGUAAUGGUUACGAACCAAUGUUUGUGCUCAUUGCCCAAGGUAGCUUGCUCGCUUCACAGCCAAGUAUCCUUGGGGCCGUUGAAUGGGAGGACAUGCAGAUCGGGGCACUAUUACGGACAGUAAAGACGGAACGGACUUGUACUACAUGAGAAUAAUUGCCACAGACGAAUUGAUAUGCCGGCUGGAUUUUCGAAAAUCACUUUCUCUCCAAUUGGUCAUGGAUGAAUAAUAAUAAUGGAUGCAUUCCCGACUACCUACGUAUGGCAAGCCGUCACCCACCCUUCACGUGGCCUACGGAAUGCAAUGGAAGACUCAAUGGUUCCAAUGACCAAACACCAAAAGAGUUGUUGUUGUUGUUGUGGUUGUUGUGUCCAAUCCAGAACCCGGAAGAGAGGCCCGCCAAGAAAUCAUAUCUGACAGUUUUUCUCAAACAUGGUCUCAUUAACCAUUAUUCACGCCAAAAAUUGUCGUCAUCCCAAGGAAAAAGAAGGAGAAGGGAAAAAACCCUGCACCAGUAUUUAGGCGAGAGGAGCGCACCAAUCCGGAUCUCGUGAGAAUAAACCCUGGUGGUUGUCAAUUUUGGGAUCCCACUUCCCAGGCCCAGUUUAUGUGUGUAGUUUAAUUAAAUUUUCUUAAUUUUCACAGCCA